GAUGAACGCUGGCGGCGUGCCUAAUACAUGCAAGUCGAGCGAACAGACGAGGAGCUUGCUCCUCUGACGUUAGCGGCGGACGGGUGAGUAACACGUGGAUAACCUACCUAUAAGACUGGGAUAACUUCGGGAAACCGGAGCUAAUACCGGAUAAUAUAUUGAACCGCAUGGUUCAAUAGUGAAAGACGGUUUUGCUGUCACUUAUAGAUGGAUCCGCGCCGCAUUAGCUAGUUGGUAAGGUAACGGCUUACCAAGGCAACGAUGCGUAGCCGACCUGAGAGGGGGAUCGGCCACACGGGAACUGAGACACGGUCCAGAACCCUACGGGAGGCAGCAGGAGGGAAUUUUCCGCAAUGGGCGAAAGCCUGACGGAGAAACGCCGGGUGAGGGAAGAAGGGCUUCGGAUCGUAAAACUUUGUUAUUAGGGAAGAAAAAAUGUGUAAGUAACUAUGCACGUUUUGACGGUACCUAAGCAGAAAGCCACGGCUAACUACGU
This 496-nucleotide ribosomal RNA is filed under the name uncultured bacterium. RNAcentral's name for it is "partial 16S ribosomal RNA". It matches the Rfam family "Bacterial small subunit ribosomal RNA", at positions 28 to 506 of the family's 1533-position model. The record is from RNAcentral.